This 815-nucleotide long non-coding RNA is filed under the name Equus caballus (horse). RNAcentral describes it as "lncRNA (ENSECAG00000051882.1)". The record is from RNAcentral. Lineage: Eukaryota; Metazoa; Chordata; Mammalia; Perissodactyla; Equidae.
CUACAGGCAGGAUGAGAGAAUCAAAAAACGUGCUGCAAAGGCUGUGCUCCUGCGGGACCGACCGUGCCGCGCCCGCUGCGGCUCCUCGGGCCCCGCCUCUGGGGCGUGCAGGGCCCCGAGGGGACGAGACACCGCCCGGCCUCCCGCUCGGCGACCAGGAGAGAGGGCAGCCGUGUCACCGUGUUUCCCAAGGAGCCAACAGUGGAGGCUGCCAGAGAGGAAAGUGGCUUUCCUGUGUUGACUACCAGUGGACAUCUGCUUUCUGCCUGGCACAUGAUUAUUGGAUGGAUGACCUCACUCAGACGAGCUUCCUGAGGCCGAGGGUUCCCUGCCCUGCCGAGGCCACAUGGACAGAAGGUGAUGGCAGAGACUGGGCCACGUGUCUGCUGGACGCAACACCCCCGCUCUGGCCGUGCAGCAGAAGGAGCCCUUCCUCCGGCAGUGUGGUCAUGCAAUGGCCUGUGGGUGGCUUGAGUCCCAACACUGUCCAUGCGUCCUUCAGCUACAGGGAGAGGCAGACAAGUAUAAGAUUGGGAUGAGCAGGGAUCCUUUGGGUGCGGCUUUGUGAAUCUGCUCAAUCAAUCAACACAUACAGGCAACCUCUGACUUGUGAACACAGGCCUAGGGCAGCCUGGACACGAGGAUUGCUGCGUUGGCUGAUUUGGGGCAGAGUUGCUCCCACUGCCUUUACUAAAAUUGCCACUGAAACUCCAGACGCUAAAGCACCCCCACCCCUCCCCCCUUUGUUUUCCUGGAACUCUUCUUGACCACAAUUCUAAUGUCAGUUUGUUUUCUUGGAUUGUUUCUCUUUUUCC